RNAcentral lists this ribosomal RNA (253 nucleotides) under uncultured bacterium. RNAcentral's name for it is "partial 16S ribosomal RNA". It matches the Rfam family "Bacterial small subunit ribosomal RNA", at positions 524 to 776 of the family's 1533-position model. The record is from RNAcentral.
UACGUAGGGUGCAAGCGUUAAUCGGAAUCACUGGGCGUAAAGCGUGCGCAGGCGGUUUUGUAAGUCUGUCGUGAAAGCCCCGGGCUCAACCUGGGAAUUGCGAUGGAGACUGCAAGGCUUGAAUCUGGCAGAGGGGGGUAGAAUUCCACGUGUAGCAGUGAAAUGCGUAGAGAUGUGGAGGAACACCGAUGGCGAAGGCAGCCCCCUGGGUCAAGAUUGACGCUCAUGCACGAAAGCGUGGGGAGCGAACAGG